GAAUGAAUGUAGAGUCGGUUGUCGCUGGUCCCUUCGGGGGCAUGUGCACGCCUUCUCUUUCCUCCACACACACCUGUGCACUCGUGAGACGGAAGCCCUCGGCAGUCCGUCUGCUCUACAUAAACUCAUAUAUAUAAUUUGAAUGUAAUUGAUGUAAUACAUCUUUAAACUAAGUUUCAACAACGGAUCUCUUGGCUCU
Molecule: unclassified non-coding RNA, 199 nt
Filed under: rhizosphere metagenome
Description: partial ribosomal RNA internal transcribed spacer region
Source: RNAcentral